This is a long non-coding RNA of Homo sapiens (human), 2515 nucleotides long. NCBI's taxonomy places the organism in Eukaryota, Metazoa, Chordata, Mammalia, Primates, Hominidae. The record is from Ensembl.
CUCUCUGCCAGCGCCCGGUGACUGCGGACGGAUGAAUAGACGCUGCGGGUCACUGCGCUCUCCCCUGGGUAGAACAGAUGGUUUGAAAAGGAAAGAUUUUUUUUUCACAUAUGGGGAAAAAAAAUUCCCAGCCUUGGAAGGAUAUUUGGGUUAGAGGCCGAAGUGCAUCACAGAUCACGCACGCGUCCACACCUCAGAAAACACUCACUCAUUCCUGAGACGCAACGGUGAGUGAAGGCUUAUUUUUGGCCACAGGAGAUUAAUAAUGAAGACAGGAGGGCGGAGCUAAAGGAGAGGGUAUUUUAACGACAUUAACUGUGUUUUUGUGUUAGUAACUCGGAAAGAGAGAGGCUGCCCCAAGUCAGCGCAUUGAAAGCCGCAGACCUAGUGUCUCCAGGCUCCCCCUUCCAAACGGGCGCGGACCUUCUUUCAUAGCCUGUAGCGGGGAGCCGCGUCUCCCCACUGCCUCCCCACUCCCAUCCGGCCGCUCUUUGGAGGGAACUCACACAUCCCAACAUGACGAUGCUUGCUCGGGGGGCCUCCUGGGGGGACCAGGGAGCCACUUCCUUUCCCACAUACUCCGGAAAUUAAAGUUGGUCUCCUUAAGGCUGGAGUGGCAAAUAGUUGUUUUAAGCUUGUCACAAAUGUAACUUACAUUUGGACUAAUGUUUUAAAAAAUAAUUGGAGUUUUGAAUCUACGAAGAUACCUUGGAAGUAAACAUAGUUAUUAUUUUGGUGGGAAAAAAAUGAAUGGACUUGAAAGUGAGUCACCUGUCCUGUUCCCGGGGCUCAGCUCUAGCAAAGUACCUUUCUCCAUCUACAGUCUCCGGCACACAGCUCCGCAGCUGGGGGUGACUAAGAGCCCACACCACGCAAGUAAUAAAACGCUCCAAUUUCAUUUAUUUAAUCAUCUGUGUGCUUCAUUUGACAAAUAUUUAUGGAGUGUCUGCUGCUAGCUCAGUGCCUGGUGCCUGGGACUGAAGACCAGAGCCCCCUGGAGACCAAAAGAGCCAGCUCCCAGCUGUGAGCAGAUCGGGUCCAAAGAUCACGGGCUCGGCGGCAGGAACCUGGUUUGGUAUCCGGCUCCUCUGCGGACUUUGAAGUGCUUUACCGAUUCACAUGACAACUGGUAAAACGAAAACAAACACCUUUCCAGGAAUUGUGAAUUCGAGUUCCAGACCCUCUGGGAUUCCGGGAGCGCAGCUGCUAUUUAUGUUAACAGUCAUUGGUCCCAGGCUGGUGAGGUUAGAAUUUCCAAGUAUAAAAGUAAUUUAGUUUCGUUUUAAAUACAUUUUAGGGCCAAAGAAAAGUGGAACGAUUUAAAGAAAAAGAUGAAAUGAAUAAUAGGGCAAGUUGGGAGGUGGCUGUCCUGAGGUUUCAUGGGACAACAUUAAUUAACCUCAUGAAGUGCCUGCAUGGACAACGUGCCCGGUGUGGUUACAAACAAACCAAUCAGCACAGAUCCUGGGUGGAAAGCAGGGCGCAGCCACGGAGGCACAGUAGGGGUGCAGACUUGAAGGUUUUUAGGAGGUAAGCCCCGAGGGCACGAAGCUCCACGGAGAGACUGUUGACCCGCCUGGGAGUGCAGUGCAGGUGAGGAGGGGAGGGACGACGAGGGGAGACAAUGGGGGGUGGGAGGUGGGAAGGAGGAGUUGGGGAAGGGGGCUGUCUGCUGACAUUUGCAAGCCCCCACUCCCCCACUACCCUGUGUUCCUCCUGGCCCCUUCCCCAGAAGAAUUCCAAGCCAGUUUCCUCCUAUACUGGAUGUCCUGACAGCGAAUCUAAAUAGGUGAUCCCUUGAGCUCCAGGUCCCCAAGCUGUGCCCUUCUUCAUAGGGGGCCAUUUAGCACUGACCCACCCAGCAGGCAGCCCAAGGUCCCUGGUCUGGAAGUGCCAGGAAGCUGCCUUUAACAUCCUACCGCAGGGAACAAUGAAGGUUGCCGGCCAGGGAGAAGACAGGAUAGAGACGUCUCUGGGUUUGCAGCCAGCCUGCCUCAGAUGGGGUCCCAGGCUGUGACCAUGGUGCAUUUGCCUGUCCCUGACAUGUGGGAUAGAGGGACCUGCUUCGAGAUGUCGGUGGGGAUCCACGCAGAUGAUAAUUAUAUGUGUGUGGCACAUGCCAGGCCAUGGGUGAAUAGUGAGAUUUUCAAUUGAGUCAUUUUCGUCUUUGUCCUUCUCAGGGUCCUGGAGCAACUCAACCCUUGUAAGUGCAUGGCUCAGUGAGAUCGUGGAGCUGACAUAGGGCUGACCUGGCUCUCAGAGGCCCCAGAAUAAAGCUGGAGCCCCUGGGGUCCACCUGCUGGCAUGACCAUGGGACAGGGGCGUGGAGCUGAGCUGGGUCAGCCACCUGGGAACAUAGUCCCCUCCCGCCAGGCCUCUGCACCCAGCCUCCUCCCUGCUUAGUAGGCUCCUCCCUCCCCUACAACAGCCACUCCUGCCACCACUUGCAUGGUUGUUUUUGAGAAUUCCCUCCGCAUUGUGUUAUUUUCUAAAAGAACAUAACUUGUUCACUGCA